This 1115-nucleotide long non-coding RNA is filed under the name Pan troglodytes (chimpanzee). Its description in RNAcentral is "long non-coding RNA NONPTRT010132". The record is from RNAcentral. Lineage: Eukaryota; Metazoa; Chordata; Mammalia; Primates; Hominidae.
CAGCUCCCAAGUAGCUUGGGAUUACAGCAACUUACAGUAGAAACCCCUGCCUGAAAUGGACAACUUCUCUGACUGAUCUAUUUCUAGGACUUCUUUAGAAAUUCAUGGUUCUCUCAGUUAUAUUUCUGUGAAUCCACUUUUUUUUGGAACCAACAAGGACCCUGCCUGUAUCAGUAAGGAAUUUAUUUGGCUACAAAUAGGAGAAAACGAGAACCACAAUGAUUGACACUGAUUUGCAUGACCCUGGGGCUGGCACAGCUGCUCAUCAGGCAUCCAGGCUGCUUCUUUCAUUUUACUCUACCAUCCUCAGCGCAGGCCUUUAGUCCUCAUGGUCACAAGAUGGCUGCUGUACUUCCUGGUCUCACAUCCAUGUUCCAGGCAGGAGGAGGGAGGAAGGACAAAAGGCAUGGCAGUCCCCCAACUCCUUUUUUAAAAAUCAGGAAAACAAGCUUUGCCAGAAGCGUCACUAGGCUGAACUUGACUAUUUCUCACAGUCCGUGUGGUGUCACACGCGCACCUCUAGCUAAAAGAUGCCUGUGGAAAAGAGGGUUGUGUGAGUGAAGAUGAGAAGCCAACAGUGUCUGCUCUGCUGAAGAAAUAGAACAAUGGAGUUCUCAGGAGUGCAUUGCGUGUGUGAUGGCAUUUGUAGUGCAAUCAGAGGGAGGAGGGGAUGUCAUUCCUAUUCUUGACAGGAAAUCACUACACAGAUUUGCCUCACCUGAAAAUGUGACAGAAGCCAGUCAGCAACGUCGUGACAGAGCCUGGACUUCUUCGUGCUUGUCUCCACAUAUCCAGCCACCUUGAGGAAGAGGAUGAUCCCACAGGCGCUGGCCAUGUUACUAGCCACUUUCUAACUUCCAAAUAAGACGGGAAAGAACAUUCCAGACCAGGGGAGCCCACCCCCAACUCUUGGAGGAGAGCUUCAAUUUUUCCCAGAGACUCUGAAAUGACUCCAUCAAGGAGUUGAGUAGCUCACAAGGGACCAAAGCUGCUACGCCAGAAGAUGGAGACAGUCUCAACCAGAUGCUCAUGCACUGAGGGCAGGACGCAAGCCCUGGGCUGAGGCCCAGUGAGGAUCUCACAUUAAGGGGAGGGAGGAGGAGGGCUGGGUCAGG